CAGUCUGCAUGGAGCCGACCUUGAAAUACCACCCUUUAAUGUUUGAUGUUCUAACGUGGACCCGUGAUCCGGGUUGCGGACAGUGUCUGGUGGGUAGUUUGACUGGGGCGGUCUCCUCCUAAAGAGUAACGGAGGAGCACGAAGGUUGGCUAAUCCUGGUCGGACAUCAGGAGGUUAGUGCAAUGGCAUAAGCCAGCUUGACUGCGAGCGUGACGGCGCGAGCAGGUGCGAAAGCAGGUCAUAGUGAUCCGGUGGUUCUGAAUGGAAGGGCCAUCGCUCAACGGAUAAAAGGUACUCCGGGGAUAACAGGCUGAUACCGCCCAAGAGUUCAUAUCGACGGCGGUGUUUGGCACCUCGAUGUCGGCUCAUCACAUCCUGGGGCUGAAGUAGGUCCCAAGGGUAUGGCUGUUCGCCAUUUAAAGUGGUACGCGAGCUGGGUUUAGAACGUCGUGAGACAGUUCGGUCCCUAUCUGCCGUGGGCGCUGGAGAACUGAGGGGGGCUGCUCCUAGUACGAGAGGACCGGAGUGGACGCAUCACUGGUGUUCGGGUUGUCAUGCCAAUGGCACUGCCCGGUAGCUAAAUGCGGAAGAGAUAAGUGCUGAAAGCAUCUAAGCACGAAACUUGCCCCGAGAUGAGUUCUCCCUGAGACUUUAGGUCUCCUGAAGGAACGUUGAAGACGACGACGUUGAUAGGCCGGGUGUGUAAGCGCAGCGAUGCGUUGAGCUAACCGGUACUAAUGAACCGUGAGGCUUAACCUUACA
Molecule: ribosomal RNA, 762 nt
Filed under: Salmonella enterica
Lineage: Bacteria; Pseudomonadati; Pseudomonadota; Gammaproteobacteria; Enterobacterales; Enterobacteriaceae
Also listed under: 1 other name
Description: partial 23S ribosomal RNA
Rfam family: Bacterial large subunit ribosomal RNA
Source: RNAcentral